CCUCCUUGCAGGUCCUCGCAGCGCAGGAUUGCCGCUGUUAAAACUAAACAGAGCUCCCUGAAAGGCUCAGUCAAUGACAUUGGACAUAUUUGUCACAUGACGUAGGAUUCCAGUAGCGAACGUAAUUUAACCCUUUCUGCACCGCUGGGUGACUGAGACGUUGACAGAUUGUUUUUUUCUUUCUAUCGGGUUUGUUUUUCUUUACUCGAAGAGAUCAAAUUACUGGUGGGGACAAUUCAAUAACCGCCCUUGCUUUGAAGACUACCUGGAGUACCUGGACCUCCUCUCCUGGAAUCAAUCACAUCAGUGUGACUGCUUCUUCACAGAAUCACACUGUGAAAAGAGCUGUUCUUAGUUCUACUUUCUGAUCCUUUAUACAUGACCAACACGGCGUGACCAGAAAAAAAACGGCGGAUGACUGAAGCGGGCGGCCAAAGAGUAAACUUUCAAAACUUAUCACACAUUUGAGUUCCAUGUGUGACAACUGCAAGUGUCCAGAGUGAGGACAGACUGAGGGACCCACUGCUGCACAUCAUCUGUGAGGCUUUGCACCCCUGAUGAUCCACCAGGACAAACUCAGCAGUGUGUGAGGAAGAGGAGGAGGAAGAGCCAGCAGCAGCUGACAGAUGGAGAGAAUAGACAGACUGUUCCCUGUUUGUGAAGGACUGCUAGAAAAGUUUAACAUCACUAAUUGUCUGUCCUGAAUCAGUCUUAUUAGGAAAUGUUCAAAUAAUUUUAUCAUUCCAGUGUUUUCAGUACUCAGGCCCUUCAAGUUACACACUAUGAAAGGCAGCAACAAGUUUAAUAUUCAGAAACCUAAAGUAUGUAUCAGCAGCAGAACGGAGCUAAAAAUAAAUGUUUGUUUCAGUUCUAUGAAGCUUUGAGUAUUUUGGAUUAGUAGCACUGCUGUGUUUGUUGUAUCGUAUUGCUGUAAUUGUUUAUAUGCUUUAUGUAUUUUGAGGUAAGUUGAUCUAUAGUGUUACAUCAUAUUCCAUAAGGAUGUUAUGUGUUUGUAUACUUUCUGCCCAGUUUGACCCAUUUAGCAGAAGUCAGCCUGUUUAAGGCUCUGAUAUCUAUUCUGUAUGACUUAAAUCGUUGAAAACGAUGUUCCGGGAGUCCGCUGUUCUCGCCGGCUCUAAUAAUCCUCGACCUCGCUGUCUGCUAUGGAGCUGGCAGGUCACAGACGUCUCCGAAAAUGUCGGAGCGCGUUUGGAAAUAUAUGAUAUCUUGAUAAAUUGAGCAGAUAUUUGAAGUUUACACAGCUACAUUCUAGCUUGAAAAUAACUUAAAAGUUUAUUUUGUGACCCAGAAAGAGUAAUAUUUAAAAGUUUUUAGCCCCGCUCGUCCGCCAUUGCCGCGUUUGAGUUUUGGACGAAAUGCAUUCUGGGAUAUUUAGCUGUAUCAAGUCCACACAAGUCACCACUGAUGCAUGCUCGAUAAAACGGGCGGAGCGAGAACACAUCCGGGACUUUUUCGCGUUCUCGGCUUGAUGCAUACUUCGAAUUGGAACAGUACUUGGUCUCCGACUGAUGACGUAUCACGAGUACAUGAGAACGCAAGUACGCAUAUUGAGAAAGGCCCUUCCCAUUUAACAAGCCUCUCACUUCCGCACUUCUUGUACUUCCUAAUACGCGCCGUACGUAGUACGCCAACUGCGCGUACUCCGAAGCGUGCGGUUGCUGGAUUGGGACACAGCCUCAUGUCGUGUCCAAAUUCAUGGGCUGCAUCCUCUUGAGGACCCGGCCUUCGCGGUCUACGUGGGCCUAUUCUGACAAACCAUCCUACUUUGGCAAAACGUCCUACCGUAUGUUUAUGCACAUUUCUGCUGUCACAGAGUAAUUCCAGCACCAAUUUAAGUAGGUAUGACGGUUUGCCACUUAACUUUGCCCAUCAGAGUAUACUUGUAGCUCGUAUGCAUACAGCCAGGAUGGUUUGGCACUUAAUUUUACCCGUCAGAGUAUGUGUGUAGCUGUUAUUAACAAAGGUAGGAUGAUUUGCCACUGAAUUUUAGCUGUUAAAGUAUGCUUCUAGCUCAGAUUAACAAAAGUAGGACGAUUUGCCACUAAAUUUUAGCAGUUUAAGUAUGCUUGUAGGUGACAUUCACAAAGGUAGGAUGGUUUGGCAGUUAAUUUUACCAGUCAGAGUAUUUUUCUAGCUAAUAUUCACAAAGGUAGGACGGUUUGCCACUGAAUUUCGUGUUGUGCGCAGAAACAACGGGUAGGAUGGUUUGCUGGGUAGGAUGAUUUGCCAGGUAGGAUGGAUUCCCAGAACACCCCGGGUCCUCAGAAGGUCGGGUAAGCUUGAAGUAAACAGCUGUGAUAUUGGACGGUCUAGCCUUGCGAUUUCGUCACUGCUGUCUUGGUGGAGUUUAAUAAACUCUGUCGUCUGCUCCUUGCUAUCUAAAUUAUAACAGGACACUGGUGUAAAUUCUUGACCAUCUCACACUUCUGUUUAAUCAGUUUUCUGUUUGAUGAUUAUUCAGCUGUGUGAAAACCAUCCAGGAGAUUAAUAAUGUUUUAUUUGAUCUAAUCUAAUAUCUUUAAUCUCAGCCAAACCAAUUUACUCACAAACCAAUAAAACACUGAAAAAGCCAAAC
This is a long non-coding RNA of Oreochromis aureus, 2596 nucleotides long. The record is from Ensembl. NCBI's taxonomy places the organism in Eukaryota, Metazoa, Chordata, Actinopteri, Cichliformes, Cichlidae.